GUAGGGGUGCAAGCGUUAAUCGGAAUUACUGGGCGUAAAGCGUGCGCAGGGCGGUUUUGUAAGUCUGUCGUGAAAGCCCCGGGGCUUAACCUGGGAAUUGCGAUGGAGACUGCAAGGCUUGAAUCUGGCAGAGGGGGGUAGAAUUCCACGUGUAGCAGUGAAAUGCGUAGAGAUGUGGAGGAACACCGAUGGCGAAGGCAGCCCCCUGGGUCAAGAUUGACGCUCAUGCACGAAAGCGUGGGGAGCAAACAGGAUUAGAUACCCUGGUAGUCCACGCCCUAAACGAUGUCUACUAGUUGUCGGGUCUUAAUUGACUUGGUAACGCAGCUAACGCGUGAAGUAGACCGCCUGGGGAGUACGGUCGCAAGAUUA
This 372-nucleotide ribosomal RNA is filed under the name uncultured organism. RNAcentral describes it as "partial 16S ribosomal RNA". It matches the Rfam family "Bacterial small subunit ribosomal RNA", at positions 526 to 896 of the family's 1533-position model. The record is from RNAcentral.